GAGGGGGUAUAUACAGCCUAAAAAAUUGCUAGUUUUUCAGGCCCGCAGUUAAAGUCUGCGGCUCCUUCGG
RNAcentral lists this transfer RNA (70 nucleotides) under Derichthys serpentinus (narrownecked oceanic eel). RNAcentral describes it as "tRNA-Ser (AGY)". Lineage: Eukaryota; Metazoa; Chordata; Actinopteri; Anguilliformes; Derichthyidae. The record is from RNAcentral.